Molecule: ribosomal RNA, 497 nt
Filed under: uncultured bacterium
Lineage: Bacteria
Description: partial 16S ribosomal RNA
Rfam family: Bacterial small subunit ribosomal RNA
Source: RNAcentral
AAUGAACGCUGGCGGCGUGCCUAACACAUGCAAGUCGAGCGAAAACUUCGGGUCUUUGCUCCCCUGAGUUUGUCGCGGGUGGGGUGAUUCCCCUUUGGUCAACCUACCUUUCCGACUGGGAUACUUUCGGCAAACAGGGCCUAAGACCGAAAAAUUUAUCGACCUUCAUUGUUCAUUAGUGAAAGACGGUUUUGUGUACACUAAAAGAUGGAUCCGCGCCGCAUUAGUUAGUUGGUAAGGUAACGGCUUACCAAGGCAACGAUGGGUAGCCGACCUGAGAGGGUGAUCGGCCACACUGGAACUGAGACACGGUCCAGACUCCUACGGGAGGCAGCAGUAGGGAAUCUUCCGCAAUGGGCGAAAGCCUGACGGAGCAACGCCGCGUGAGUGAUGAAGGUCUUCGGAUCGUAAAACGCUGUUAUUAGGGAAGAACAAAUGUGUAAGUAACUAUGCACGUCUUGACGGUACCUAAUCAGAAAGCCACGGCUAACUACGUG